This 796-nucleotide ribosomal RNA is filed under the name uncultured Glomeromycotina. RNAcentral describes it as "SSU rRNA". It matches the Rfam family "Eukaryotic small subunit ribosomal RNA", at positions 314 to 1114 of the family's 1831-position model. The record is from RNAcentral. Lineage: Eukaryota; Fungi; Glomeromycota.
AUCAACUUUCGAUGGUAGGAUAGAGGCCUACCAUGGUGGUAACGGGUAACGGGGUGUUAGGGCACGACACCGGAGAGGGAGCCUGAGAAACGGCUACCACAUCCAAGGAUGGCAGCAGGCGCGCAAAUUACCCAAUCCCGACACGGGGAGGUAGUGACAAUAAAUAACAAUACGGGGUCCUUUCGGGUUUCGUAAUUGGAAUGAGUACAAUUUAAAUCUCUUAACGAGGAACAAUUGGAGGGCAAGUCUGGUGCCAGCAGCCGCGGUAAUUCCAGCUCCAAUAGCGUAUAUUAAAGUUGUUGCAGUUAAAAAGCUCGUAGUUGAAUUUCGGGAUUAGUACGUUGGUCGUGCCUUCGGUACGUACUGGUGUUACUGAUUCCUACCUUCUGACGAACCAUCAUGUCAUUAAUUUGGUGUGGUGGGGAAUCAGGACUGUUACUUUGAAAAAAUUAGAGUGUUUAAAGCAGGCUCGCGCUUGAAUACAUUAGCAUGGAAUAAUGAAAUAAGACGUUGACCCUAUUUUGUUGGUUUCUAGGAUUGACGUAAUGAUUAAUAGGGAUAGUUGGGGGCAUUAGUAUUCAAUUGUCAGAGGUGAAAUUCUUGGAUUUAUUGAAGACUAACUACUGCGAAAGCAUUUGCCAAGGAUGUUUUCAUUAAUCAAGAACGAAAGUUAGGGGAUCGAAGACGAUCAGAUACCGUCGUAGUCUUAACCAUAAACUAUGCCGACUAGGGAUCGGAUGAUGUUAUUUUUAAUGACUCAUUCGGCGCCUUACGGGAAACCAAAGUGUUUGGGUUC